This 214-nucleotide long non-coding RNA is filed under the name Elaeis guineensis (African oil palm). Its description in RNAcentral is "long non-coding RNA (EGUI_LNC049301)". Lineage: Eukaryota; Viridiplantae; Streptophyta; Magnoliopsida; Arecales; Arecaceae. The record is from RNAcentral.
AAGAAUGAGUCACUAUAUUUCAAUUUAGCAAAAUCUUGGCCAGGAUAAUCCAUCAGAUGGAUUUGAUAUUUUGAAAUACAAUAUGGACAACCUGAUCAGAGUUGAUAGUUGAACUCUGAGAUGUCCUAUGAUUAUUUUGGUCAAGGGAAUGAAUUAUAUGGAAACUAUAUCCGCAUGCAUUCUAAGGAUGUUGUUCUACACAUUCGACCUAUCC